RNAcentral lists this ribosomal RNA (351 nucleotides) under Triticum aestivum (bread wheat). Its description in RNAcentral is "partial small subunit ribosomal RNA". The record is from RNAcentral. Lineage: Eukaryota; Viridiplantae; Streptophyta; Magnoliopsida; Poales; Poaceae.
AUGGAAAAUAUAUUGGAUGACAUGCUCACUGGAGCCCUGAUGUGGAUGCAAGUGCAACUAGACACCCUAAAUGACUCUGUGCAAAAACCUGGAAUUACUACAAUCUUAGAGAACUUCAAAGAUGUUUUUGCAGAGCCUACUGGUCUACCUCCUCAGAGAGAAUGUGACCAUGCAAUCAACAUGGAGCCUGGAGCCCCAGUUAUAAAUCAGAGAGGAUACAGGUUGCCACAUCACCAGAAAAAUGCUUUAGAUGAAAUCAUUAAAGAUCUUCGCCAUAAAGGGAUUAUAAGAUUAAGUCACAGUCCAUACUCCUCUCCUGCUAUCCUGGUGAAGAAAAAAGACAUGACUUGA